GGUCUUAUGGUCUAGUGGUGUAAGUAGCAUCAUCCUGUGACUUCAGAAUCAACUUACUAACGUAAUAAAUAGAUGAUUCUCGCUUAGGGUUUACUCUGAGUACAAAAUUUGCGAGAGGCCCCGCGUUCGAAUCGCGGUAAGACCC
Molecule: transfer RNA, 145 nt
Filed under: Lachnellula cervina
Lineage: Eukaryota; Fungi; Ascomycota; Leotiomycetes; Helotiales; Lachnaceae
Description: tRNA-Thr
Source: RNAcentral